This 75-nucleotide transfer RNA is filed under the name Hyphomicrobium sp. RNAcentral describes it as "tRNA-Gly". It matches the Rfam family "tRNA". From Rfam's summary of the family: Transfer RNA (tRNA) molecules are approximately 80 nucleotides in length. Their secondary structure includes four short double-helical elements and three loops (D, anti-codon, and T loops). Lineage: Bacteria; Pseudomonadati; Pseudomonadota; Alphaproteobacteria; Hyphomicrobiales; Hyphomicrobiaceae. RNAcentral also lists the same sequence under 319 other names. The record is from RNAcentral.
GCGGGUGUAGCUCAGGGGUAGAGCACAACCUUGCCAAGGUUGGGGUCGUGGGUUCGAAUCCCAUCGCCCGCUCCA